Molecule: long non-coding RNA, 9490 nt
Organism: Callithrix jacchus (white-tufted-ear marmoset)
Lineage: Eukaryota; Metazoa; Chordata; Mammalia; Primates; Cebidae
Source: RefSeq, a predicted model, not a curated record
CCCCGAGCGGAAGUGGCUGUGACUCCACUGAUCGUCGGGACUACAUUUCCCAGAAUCCCCGGGACCCGCCUGCAAACGGACCAAGACUCCUCCGAGCGUUUGGACUAACACUCAGAAUGCUGAGGGAAAAACGUCCAGAAUCUCAACGUUCAGGGGAAGGCGUUGAUACUCCGCGGUGCUCCUUGACUACGCUUUCCGAAAUGCCCAUGGGGAACGAAUCCUAUAUCCCUGAGCGCCCAGUAGGGUAUAUGGACUGUGACCCUGAAAGUCGUCUUUCCUCCCUCUCCUUGAGUCCUUGAGUGAAAAUACUGAACAGACAGGAAUUCCUGAAGUCUAAACGCCUCCCAGGACUACAGGAAUGUUAUUGGAAAGAGAACAAACGAGGAGAUACAACCUUGAGGAAAUAAACAGGGAAUGUCGGGGUCAGUAGUUAAUUGAAAGAAAGCUAAUGAUUGCUAUAAACUGAUAGUAUGAGGCUAAAAGUUUAAAAAAUGAGCAAAGUACAGUGGUUUGGGAGAGGCAAUGAAGAACGAAGGUGCUGGCCCCUACUCCGGAAGCUGUGAUACCACUGGUUUGCCCGGCAAAACAAUCAUCAUUUGAGAGGGAGAAGGACAGAGAAACCUGGGGUGGUGAUGUGCGGAGACGGGAAGAGGUCAACUGGCUGCAGAUGAAUGAAUAUGCUCCCUACAAAAAGCUCCAAGACAAGAUCAUCAUGGCAGACGGAAGGCAGGACUAGACUGCAGUACCGACUCAUAUGGACAGAAUAGCGUACAGAGGCUCCCAUUGUGAAUUUUACCUCUAGAUUGACUGCAAGAACAAACCAGCAAUCCUAAGAGGUCACACAGACCCUCUGAAGGAAGCAGACUGCUCCUGCAGGACCCUGGAGACACCCCAAAUACUGUGAAUGUCCCAACUGUGGAAGUGAGAAAGAGCCUCUUGUCCUGAACACAUAACCUCACUGGAGAAACUGAAGGUCUUUUUGUGGCAUUAGUUUCUGACCUUAGCUGGAGUUUUAGUCAAUUUAGAGAGCUGAGCAAGAUACAGGGGUAGAUGAAGCAGGAGAAAGGCAUUGAGACCUUGUUGGGUCCCAAAGCAGGUCAUUCUUGCCUGGCACCACAGGGAUAUAUCAGGAGGGUGGCCAGCAGAGCAGGGCAUGGGGAAUUCCACAGGGAGAAAGAAGUAUCCAGAUGAACUCUGUAACAAUUUGAAUGGGGCAAGAAGCCUCCCGGCCAGAAUCCAAUGUGCAGACUCCAUAGGCAGGGGAAGAACCAAGCCCUUUUCUUUUGCAGCUGAGAGGUGAGUAGCUUGGGGCAGGUUCUCAAGCCCAGCUUGCUCACCGCCUGGAAACAGACUCGAGGCUAUUGGCGGGAGCAUGGUGUGAGUGUGACCAGCCCUUUGGUUUGCAUGGGAGCUGGGUGAGGCCUGUGACUGCCAGCUUUCCCCUACUUCCCUGACAACCUGCAUGACUCAGCAGAAGCAGCCAUAAUCCUCCUAGGUACACAACUCUAGUGACCUGGGAACCUCACCUACCUCCCCAACAGCAGCUGCAGCAAGACCCACCCAAGGAGAGUUUGAGCUCAGAUAUGCCUAGCCCUCUCCCAACCUAAUUAGGGCCUUCCCUAUCCACCCUGGUAGCUGAAGACAAAGGGCAUGUAAUCUUGGGAGUUCUAGGGCCUUACCCACUGCUGAUGCUCUCCAUACUAUGAUAGCUGAUGCUUUCCGGAAAGUGACACCUCCUGGCAGGAGGCCAACCAGCAGAAAAAUAGAGCAUUAAACCACCAAAGCUAAGAAACCUCACCAAGUCCAUUGCACACCACUCCCCUAACCUGGCCACCUCCCCUGGAACAGGCUGAGAGACCCACAGACAGUUCACAUUACAGGACUCUAUGCAGACAGCCCCCAGUACCAGCCCAGAGCCAGGUGGACUUGCUGGGUGGCUAGACCCAAAAAGAGAAAACAAUCACUGCAGUUCGGACAAUACAUCCAUAGGAAAAGGGGAAGAGUACUACAUCAAGGGAACAUCACGUGGAACAGAAGAAUCUUAACAACAGCCUUCAGCCCUAGACCUUUACUCAAAUGAGAAGGAACCAGAAAACCAACUCCUGUAAUAUGACAAAACAAGGCACUUUAACAUCCACCAAAAAAAUCACACGAGUUUACCAGCAAUGGAUCCAAACCAAGAAGAAAUCCCUGAUUUACCUGAACAAAAAUUCAGGUUAGUUAUUAAGCUAAUCAAGGAGGCAUCAGAGAAAGAUGAAGCCUAGUGCAAGGAAGAAAAAAAAAAAAAAAAAGGAUAAAAUAAGCGAAGGGAGAAAUAUUCAAGAAAAUAGAUAGCCUAAAGAAAAAACAAUAUAAAAAAUUCAGAAAACAUUGGACACAACUAUAGAAAUGCAAAAUGCUCUAGAAAGUCUCGGCAAUAGAAUUGAACAAGUAGAAGAAAGAAAUUCAGGGCCUGAAGACAAGUUCUUUAAAUUAACCCAAUCCAACAAAGACAAAGAAAAAAUAAUAGGAAAAUAUGAACAAAGCCUCCAAGGAGUCUGGGAGUACGUUAAAUGACUAAACAUAAGAACAAUUAGUGUUCCUGAGGAAGAAGAGAAUUCUAAAAGCUUGGAAAACAUAUUUGGGAAAAUAAUCAAGGAAAACUUCCCCAGCCUUGCUAGAGACCUAGACAUCCAAAUAUAACAAGCACCAAGAACACCUGGGAAAUUCAUUGCAAAAAGAUCGUUGCCUACACACAUUGUCAUCAAAUUAUCCAAAGUUAAGAUGAAGGAAAGAAUCUUAAGAGCUGUAAGACAGAAGCUCCAAGUAACCUAUAAAGGAAAAUCUAUCAGAUUAAUAGCAGAUUUCUCAAUAGAAACCAUACACACUAGAAGGGAUUAGAGCCCUAUCAUCAGCCUUCUCAAACAAAACAAUUAUCAGGCAGGAAUUUUGUAUCCAGCAAAACUAAGCAUCAUAUAUGAAGGAAAGAUAGCGUCUUUUUCAGACAAAUGCUGAGAGAUUUGCUACUACCAAGCCACCACUACAGGAACUGCUAAAAGGAGCUCUAAAUCUUAAAACAAAUCCUGGAAACACAUCAAAACAGAACUUCUUUAAAGAAUAAAUCACACAGGACCUAUAAAACAAAAAUACAUAUUAAAAAGCAAAAACAAAAACACCAAAGUAGACAGGCAAUAAAUAGCAGGAUGAAUGCAACCGUACCUCACAUCUCAAUACUAACAUUGAAUGUAAAUGGUCUAAAUGAUCCACUUAAAAGAUACAGAACUGCAGAAUGGAUAAGAGCUCACCAACCAACCAUCUGCUGCCUUUGGGAGACUCACCUAACAUACAGGACUCAUAUAAACUUAAAGUAAAAGGGUGGAAAAGGCAUUUCAUGCAAAUGGACACCAAAAGCAAGCAGGGGUAGCUCUUUGUAUGUCAGCCAAAACAAACUUUAAAGCAACAGCACUUAAAAGAGACAAAGAAGGAUAUUAUAUACUGGUAAAAGGGCUUGUCCAACUGGAAAACAUCACAAUCCUAAGCAUACAUGCACCUAACACUGGAGCUCCCAAAUUUAUAAAACAGUUAUUAACAGACCUAAGAGAUGUGGUAGACAGCAACACAAUAAUAGUGGGGGACGUCAAUCCUCCACUGAUAGCACUAGACAGGUCAUUAAGACAGAAAGUCAAUAAAGAAACAAGGGAUUUAGGGGAGAAAUGCCAGAUAUAGGUGAUGGGGAGGAAGGCAGAAAAUCACACUGCCAUGUGUGUACCUAUGCAACAAUCUUGCAUGUUCUUCACAUGAACCCCAAAAUCUAAAAUGCAAUAAUUAAAAAAAAGAAAGAAAGAAACAAGGGAUUUAAACCAUAUCUUAAAACAAAUGGAUCUAACAGAUAUAUACAGAACAUUUCAUCCAACAACCGCAGAAUACACAUUCUAUUCAACAGCACAUGGAACUUUCUCCAAGACAGACCAUAUGAUCGGCCAUAAAAUGAGCCUCAAUUAAUUUAAGAAAAUUGAAAUAUCAAGCACUCUCUCAGACCACAGUGGAAUAAAACUGGAAAUCAAUUCCAACAGGAACCUUCAAAACCCUGCAAAUACAUGGAAAUUAAAUAGCCUGCUCCUGAAUGAGCAUUGGAUAAAAAAACGAAAUCAAGAUGGAAAUUAAAAAAUUAUUCAAACUGAACAACAAUAAUGACACAACCUAUCAAAAUCUCUGGGAUACAGCUAAGGUGGUGUGAGAGGAAAGUUCAUAGCCCUAAAUGCCUACAACAAAAAGACUGAAAGAGCACACACUUCCAUUCUAAGAUCACACCUCAAGGAACUAGAGAAACAAGAACAAACCAAACCCAAACCCAGCAGAAGAAAGGAAAGAACCAAGAUCAGAGCAGGACUAAAUGAAAUGGAAACAACGACAACAAAAAAUAAAAAUAAAAAAGAUAGGCCGGGCACGGUGGCUCACGCCUAUAAUCCCAGCACUUUGGGAGGCCGAGGCAGGUGGAUCACGAGGUCAAGAGAUCGAGACCAUCCUGGUCAACAAGGUGAAACCACAUCUCUACUAAAAAUACAAAAAUUAGCUGGGCAUGGUGGCGUGCGCCUAUAGUCCCAGCUACUCGGGAGGCUGAGGCAGAAGAAUUGCUUGAACCCAGACGGCGGAGGUUGCGGUGAGCCAAGAUCAUGCCAUUGCACUCCAGUCUGGGUAACAACAGCGAAACUCCAUCUCAAAAAUAAAAAAUAAAAUAAAAAAAUAAAAAAGAUAAAUGAAACAAAAAGCUGGUUAUUUGAAAAGAUAAAUAAAAUUGAUAGGCCAUUAGCAAUAUUAACCAAGAAAAGAAGCAAGAUAAUCAAAUAACCUCAUUAAGAAAUGAAACAGCAAAUAUUACAAUUGAUACCACUGGAAUACAAAAGAUCAUUCAAGGCUACUAGAAACACCUUUACACACAUAAACUAGAGAAGCUGGAAGAGGUGGAUACAUUCCUGGAAAAAUGCAAUGCUCCUAGCUUAAGUCAGGAAGAAUUAGAUACUCUGAACAGACCAGUAACAAGCAGCGAGAUUGAAAUGGGAAUUUAAAAAUUAUAAACAAAAAAAGUCCAGGACCACACAGAUUCACAGGAGAAUUCUACCAGAUGUGACACUAUUUCGCAAGAUAGAAAAAGAAGGAAGCCAGCAUCAUUCUAUGAAGCCAGCAUCACCCUUAAACCAAAACCAGAAAAGGACAUAACCAAAAAAGAAAACUAAAGACCAAUAUCCUUGAUGAUCACAGAUGCUAAGAUCCUUAACAAAAUAGUAGCUAACCUAAUCCAACAACAUAUCAAAAAGUUAAUCCAUCAUGAUCAGGUAGGUUUCAUGCCAGGGAUGCAGGGAUGGUUUAACAUACCCAAGUCAAUAAAUGUGAUACACCACAUAAACAGAAUUAAAAAUAAAAAUCACAUGAUCAUCUCAAUAGAUGCAGAAAAAGCAUUCGACAAAAUCCAGCAUCGCUUUAUGAUUAAAACUCUCAGGAAAAUCAGCAUACAAGGGACAUACCUCAAUGUAAUGAAAGCCAUCGAUGACAAACCUACAGCAGACAUAAUAAUCAUUGCCUCUGAGAAGUGGAACAAGACAAGGAUGCCCACUCUUACCACUCCUCAACACAGUACUGGAAGUCCUAGCCAAAGCAAUCAGACAAGAGAAAGAAAUAAAGGGCAUCCACUUUGGCCAGGCACGGUGGCUCAUGCCUAUAAUCCCAGCACUUUGGGAGGCCCACACAGGUGGAUCACCUGAGGUCAGGAGUUUGAGGCCAGCCUGUCCAACAUAGUAAAACCCCGUCUCUACUAAAAAUACAAAAAUUAGCUGGGCAUGGUGGCGCAUGCCUGUAAUCCCAGCUCUUGGAGGCUGAGGCAGGAGAAUCACUUAAACCCAAGAGGCAGAGCUUACAGUGAGUAGAAAUCAUGCCACUGCACUCCAGCCUAGGCAACCAGAGCAAGACUCCAUCUAAAGAAAAAAAAAGAAAGAAAGAAAGGGCAUUCAAAUCAGUAAAGAAGAAGUUAAACUGUCACUGGUUGCUGAUGAUAUGACUGUCUACCUUAAAACCCAAAGACUCCUCCAGAAAGCUUCUAGAAUUGAUAAAAGAAUUCAGCAAAGUUUCUGGAUACAAGAUUAAUGUACACAAAUCAGUAGCUCUUCUAUACACUACCAGCAACCAAGCAGAGAAUCAAAUCAAGAACUCAACUCCUAAUAUAACAGCUGCAAACAAGAACAACAACAACAACAACAACUUAGGAAUAUGCCUAACCAAGGAGUCAAAAGACCUCUACAAGGAAAACUACAAAGCGCUACUGAAAGAAAUCACAGAGACAAACAUAUGGAAACACAUCCCAUGCUCAUAGAUGGGUAGAAUCAAUAUUGUGAAAAUGACCAUACUGCCAAAACCAAAUUCAAUCCCUAUCAAAAUAUCACCAUCAUUCGUCACGGAAUUAGAAAAAAAAAAUCUAAAAUUCAUAUGGAACCAAAAAAAGCCCGCAUAACCAAAGCAAGACUAAGCAAAAACAAAAACAAAUCUGGAGACAUCACACUACCUGAUUUCAAACUAUACUAUAAGACCAUAGUCACCAAAACAGCGUGGUACUAGUAUAAAAAUAGGCACAUAGAUCAAUGGAGCAGAAUAGAGAAUCCAGAAAUAAUCCCAAAUACUUAAAGCCAACUGAUCUUGGACAAAGCAAACAAAAACAUAAAGUGGGGAAAGGAUACCCUUUUCAACAAAUGGUGCUGGGAUAAUUGGCUAGCCACAUGUAGGAGAAUGAAACUGGAUCUUCAUCUGUCACCUUACACAAAAAUCAACUCAAGAUGGAUUAAGGACUCAAAUCUAAGAUCUGAAACUAUAAAAAUUAUAGAAGCUAACAUUGGAAAAACCCUUCUAGACCUUGGCUUAGGCAAGGAUUUAAUAAUCAAGAACCCAAAAGCAAAUGCAAUAAAAACAAAGAUAAAGAGUUUUGGGACCUAAUUAAACUAAAAAGCUUUUGCAUGGCAAAAGGAUAAUCAGGAGAGCAAACAGACAACCCACAGAGUGGGAGAAAAUUUUCACAGUCUGUACAUCUGAUAAAGGACUAGUAACUAGAAUCUACAAUGAACUCAAAUAAAUCAGUAAGAAAAAAACAAAGAACCCCACCAAAAAGUGGGCCAAGAACAUGAAUAGAGAAUUCUCAAAAGAACAUAUACAGAUGGCCAACAGACACAUAAACAAAAAGCUCAAAAUCACUAAUGAUCAGGAAAUGCAAAUCAAAACCACAAUGUGAUACCACCUUACUCCUGCAAGAAUGGCCAUAAUCAAAAAAUCAAAAAACAGUAGAUGCUGAUGUGGAUGUAGUGAUGGGGGAACACUUCUACACUGCUGGUGGGAAUGUAAACUAGUACAGUCAGUAUGGGAAACAAUGUGGAAAUUCCUUAAAGAACUAGAAGUAUAACUACCAUUUGAUCCAGCAAUCCUACUACUGGGUGUCUAUCCAGAGCAAAGAAGUCAUUAUAUGAAAAACACAGCCAGAAAGUUGUGAGGAGAAAGAGUAUUCUGGGCCGGGAAAGAUGGCUCAUGCUUGUAAUCCCAGCACUUUGGGAGGCUGAGGUAGAUGGAUCACCUGAGGUCAGGAGUUCAAGACCAGCCUGGUCAACAUGGUGAAACCCUGUCUCUACUAAAAAUACAAAACAAACAAACAAAAAAAAUUAGCUAGGGAUGGGGGUGUGUGCGCCUGUAAUCCCAGCUACUUUGGGAGACUGAAGCAGGAGAAUCGCUUGAACCCAGGAGGUGGAGGUUGCAGUGAGUGGAGAUCACGCCAUUGCACUCCUGCCUAGGCAACAAGAGCAAAACUCUGUGUCAAAAAAAAAAAAAAAAAAAAGAGUAUUCUGAUCAGAGAGAAGAGCAAGUAAGGGCUCUGAGGCAGAAGCUUUAGCAGUAGACAGAGCAAUGAUUCAUAAAAGAUGCCCACAUCCAGUCCCCAAGACCUAUGAACAUGUUAUAUUAUACAGCAGGGGGGACACGGGUUGCAGAUGCAAUUAAGGCCACUAGUCAGCUAACCAGAAAGUGAGAAGGUCAUUGUGGAUCAUCCAGGGGUAACCAGUACAAUCACGAGGAACCUGAAAGGCAGGAACAGAGGCAUAAGAAGAGUGGCAGAGUGAGCCUGACUAUGGAAGAAGGGUCAGAAAUGCAAACUAACUGCCUUAGAAGAUGGAGGAAGGAAAACAAGAGCCAUGGAGUGUGGACAGUGCCUAGAGACUGCUAAAGGAGUGUGGACAGCCACGGAGUGUGGACAGUGCCUAGAGACUGCUAAAGGAGUGUGGACAGCCACGGAGUGUGGACAGUGCCUAGAGACUGCUAAAGGAGUGUGGACAGCCACGGAGUGUGGACAGUGCCUAGAGACUGCUAAAGCAAAGUAAAGGUUUACCCCUAAGAGCAUCCGCAAAGAAACAAAGCCCUACAGACACCUUGAUAAUUGCCCAGUGAGAUGUGUCAGACUUCAGGACCAAAGAACAGAAAGAUAGUAAGUGUUUGUCGUUUAGUCCCCUAAAUGUGUGGUCAUUGGUUACUACAACAGUGUCCUUGGCAGGUCAGAGAAACAGCAGGGAGGACAAUGUGGCUGGAAAGACAGGACAAGAAGGAGAGGACAGGAAAUGUCGUCAGAGAGGCGGUGGGGGAUGAACAGAUCACAUGGUCUCUAAAAGGCACUUAAAACUAUUGUGACAUAAGUAAACAUAAGAAGCCAGAAAGGCUUUAGAGCCAAGGAAUGGCUCUAAAUGACUUAGAUUUUCCAAGGACCACUUUGGCUGCCAUGAGGAAAACAGAUGUCAGGGUAGGAAAAGUGGGAGCAGGGCAAAAAGCCAAAAGUCAGCUGUAAAAAUCCAGGAAGAAGGGUUGGCCAUUUAGACCAGAGCAACAGAGUUGGGCAACAGACAGAAGCAAAACAGACAGGAGAGUCACGUACAAGGACACACAAGUGCUUGCUUCUUACCUAAAUUCCCUUCUUUUUGGGUUGCUGUCUCCACCAUCCAGAACUUUUCUUCCCUGGGGAAGUGGAAAGUAUCUCCAUGGAAUGGUUGAUGCCCUGUGAACAUGCAAAGUUGUAUGCUUAAUGCCAACAUAUCCUAGGGAAAAAAAUCUAGGUAAAAUUUACUCGAAACUUAGGUUCCUAAUGCAUACCCAAACUUGAACACUCUAGGAUACAAAACCACUCCUGGGCCUGACACCCCCUUACAAAGGGUGCCUGUCCUCACCCACUGAGAGCAGGUUUCUGAAAUUCUCCAGCAUCACAUCUUGGUACAGCUUCUUCUGGGCAGGGUCCAGCAAUUGCAGCUCCUCCUCGGUGAAGACCACAGCCACAUCCUUGAAAGUCACUGUCUCCUACAGCAUCAAACAUACGCAACUUCAAACUCAUGGCCAAUGACUACUGAGAGAGGGGUGGCACUGAGCGGAGGGGAAGGACAAGAAGCUGUUUUGAAUCUUAAGAGACAUAGGUCAACGUACAGAUUUCCUUUUUUUUUUUUUUUUU